GUGCAAUUUUUGGAUAAUCGCAUGUCGCUUUCUUGGCGACGUGAGGAAAGUCCAUGCUAGCACUGGCUGUGAUGCCAGUAGUGUUUGUGCUAGGCGAAAAAAGAAGCCUAGGGAUGUCUAUUUGACAUUACGGCGGACGAAAGAGCUAAGUCUUCGGAUAAGUUUCUAGUCCUGAAAGUGCCACAGUGACGGAGUUCUUGGGGAAACUCAGGGAGUGGAACGCGGUAAACCCCUCAAGCUAGCAACCCA
RNAcentral lists this unclassified non-coding RNA (249 nucleotides) under uncultured Streptococcus sp. RNAcentral's name for it is "partial ribonuclease P RNA". It matches the Rfam family "Bacterial RNase P class B", at positions 1 to 242 of the family's 365-position model. Rfam says of the family: Ribonuclease P (RNase P) is a ubiquitous endoribonuclease, found in archaea, bacteria and eukarya as well as chloroplasts and mitochondria. Lineage: Bacteria; Bacillati; Bacillota; Bacilli; Lactobacillales; Streptococcaceae. The record is from RNAcentral.